Non-coding RNA from Bufo bufo (common toad), 75 nucleotides. Lineage: Eukaryota; Metazoa; Chordata; Amphibia; Anura; Bufonidae. The record is from the annotation of a RefSeq genome assembly.
UGCUCCAGUGGCGCAAUCGGUCAGCGCGCGGUACUUAUAAUGCCGAGGUUGUGAGUUCAAGCCUCACCUGGACAA